RNAcentral lists this ribosomal RNA (497 nucleotides) under uncultured bacterium. Its description in RNAcentral is "partial 16S ribosomal RNA". It matches the Rfam family "Bacterial small subunit ribosomal RNA", at positions 29 to 523 of the family's 1533-position model. The record is from RNAcentral.
AUUGAACGCUGGCGGAAUGCUUUACACAUGCAAGUCGAACGGUAGAGGAGCAAUCCUUGAGAGUGGCGAACGGGUGAGUAAUACAUCGGAACGUGCCCAGUUGUGGGGGAUAACGUAGCGAAAGCUACGCUAAUACCGCAUACGACCUGAGGGUGAAAGCGGGGGACCUGAGAGGGCCUCGCGCGAUUGGAGCGGCCGAUGGCAGAUUAGGUAGUUGGUGGGGUAAAGGCCUACCAAGCCUGCGAUCUGUAGCUGGUCUGAGAGGACGACCAGCAACCCCGGGACUGAGACACGGCCCAGAAUGCUACGGGAUGCAGCAGUGGGGAAUUUUGGACAAUGGGCGAAAGCCUGAUCCAGCCAUACCGCGUGUGGGAAGAAGGCCUUCGGGUUGUAAACCACUUUUGUCAGGGAAGAAAUGCUCUGGGCUAAUACCCUGGGGAGAUGACGGUACCUGAAGAAUAAGCACCGGCUAACUACGUGCCAGCCGCCGCCUGUAA